RNAcentral lists this long non-coding RNA (1302 nucleotides) under Populus tremula. RNAcentral describes it as "long non-coding RNA (PTRE_LNC002570)". The record is from RNAcentral. Lineage: Eukaryota; Viridiplantae; Streptophyta; Magnoliopsida; Malpighiales; Salicaceae.
AGGGUCUGUUCAACUCCUUCAUUCUCAAUGCAAAUUAUGAAAUGCUAAAGGAACAACAAAAUGGUGUUGCUUAGCACCUCUGUUGAUAACCUGCUUCUUAUUCAUUAUUUAUGCUUAGCAGAUAAUGGAGAACAUAGAGAGCCAGAUGCAAGCUUUUGAGGAAUCUGCAGAAUUGAACAGAACUGGAAAUUGAGAAGAACGAUAAUAAGGUAGCAGAUUUUGAAGUUCAAAUGGAAAACGACCGGAAUGAGGGGAUGUUCUUCAAGAACCUUGGCCAGAAAGCACCAGUUGAUAAAGCCAAAGCUAAGGAGGAAGCACAGAAGAUUAAAGAUCUGACUAACGCAAAAGCAGGGUCAAAAACCAGGAAGAACAUUUACCUUGCUUUAAUGGGUGUACUAGCCAUAGUGAUUGCUGAUUCCUUCCUCUCUUCUUCACCUGAUUGGCGAAAAGUUGCAGUUCUCGGAGCAAUUUUAGUGGGUUUGAUCACUCAGUUCAGCUACGAGCAGAGAUUAGCAUCAGACAUAGAAAGAGCAGAAAAGGAACAGACAGACAAAGAAAAGUAAAGUCCUCCUUUUUUCUCAGUAUAAGGAAUUUAUAGUGUAAAAUCUUAGACAUGCCAUUUUGAAUGAAUAUAGCAUGAUAAAAUAACCCCAAGUGAAAACUUCCAACUUGGAUUUGAUACAUCAAGCUAUUUUCUUUUGCAUCAUCCACAUCUGAUCUUGGUGAUAUUACUGCAUCACCAAUAUCCAAUUUUGAUGCUUUGCUAACUUUCCUAUCACUGUAUCCAAACAGCCAAAAGGCCGUAGUACUCACGUUGUUGUGACAAUUUUCUGAGAAAUUUUUGUAAUCAUCUUCAAAUACUUUUUGCUGUACAGCUAUUUCUCUGGCUAAGCACUUUCGUGAAAUUGCUUGAAGUGUUUAUAUAUAUAUAUAUAUAUAUAUAUGCUGAGCAAACCAGAGAAAAGAAGCAUAAGAAUUCAAAUGUCUAGGAGAAAGAUAACAUACUUGGGACUUCUAGGAGUCAAAAUGUUUGAUACUGAACGUUUCUCAUCCAUAAUGAAAAAGAAGAUUUAUGGGCCCUGAAUUAAAAUGAUCAAGCAAAAACUAGAUGUUGAAGGGCUAGAUAGGCUAUCUGGGCCGUGGAUGCUCGCUGUUUGCCUAACAGAUGGUUGAAGGUUGUGUUCAGGUUUGUCACAAGGAAGAUCCAAUCACAUCUGCAAGUAUUGCCAUGACAACACGAAAACAACAUCACCUGCAAUUAAAGUAAUCAUAGUGUCUAUGUCCAGCUGAAACCCAUAUUUG